AGCUCAGUUGGUAAAGAAUCUGCCUGCAAUGCAGGAGACCCAGGUUCAAUUCCUGG
Transfer RNA from Ovis aries (sheep), 56 nucleotides. It matches the Rfam family "tRNA", at positions 9 to 63 of the family's 71-position model. Rfam says of the family: Transfer RNA (tRNA) molecules are approximately 80 nucleotides in length. Their secondary structure includes four short double-helical elements and three loops (D, anti-codon, and T loops). Further hydrogen bonds mediate the characteristic L-shaped molecular structure. tRNAs have two regions of fundamental functional importance: the anti-codon, which is responsible for specific mRNA codon recognition, and the 3' end, to which the tRNAs corresponding amino acid is attached (by aminoacyl-tRNA synthetases). tRNAs cope with the degeneracy of the genetic code in two manners: having more than one tRNA (with a specific anti-codon) for a particular amino acid; and 'wobble' base-pairing, i.e. permitting non-standard base-pairing at the 3rd anti-codon position. Lineage: Eukaryota; Metazoa; Chordata; Mammalia; Artiodactyla; Bovidae. The record is from Rfam.